Molecule: ribosomal RNA, 497 nt
Filed under: uncultured bacterium
Lineage: Bacteria
Description: partial 16S ribosomal RNA
Rfam family: Bacterial small subunit ribosomal RNA
Source: RNAcentral
GAUGAACGCUGGCGGCGUGCCUAAUACAUGCAAGUCGAGCGGACGGACGAGAAGCUUGCUUCUCUGAUGUUAGCGGCGGACGGGUGAGUAACACGUGGAUAACCUACCUAUAAGACUGGGAUAACUUCGGGAAACCGGAGCUAAUACCGGAUGAUAUUUUGAACCGCAUGGUUCAAAAGUGAAAGACGGGCUUGCUGCCACUUAUAGAUGGAUCCGCGCUGCAUUAGCUAGUUGGUAAGGUAACGGCUUACCAAGGCAACGAUGCAUAGCCGACCUGAGAGGGUGAUCGGCCACACUGGAACUGAGACACGGUCCAGACUCCUACGGGAGGCAGCAGUAGGGAAUCUGCCGCAAUGGGCGAAAGCCUGACGGAGCAACGCCGCGUGAGUGAUGAAGGUCUUCGGAUCGUAAAACUGUGUUAUUAGGGAAGAACAUAUGUGUAAGUAACUGUGCACAUCUUGACGGUACCUAAUCAGAAAGCCACGGCUAACUACGUG